RNAcentral lists this unclassified non-coding RNA (330 nucleotides) under soil metagenome. Its description in RNAcentral is "partial contains 5.8S ribosomal RNA, internal transcribed spacer 2, and large subunit ribosomal RNA". The stretch from base 1 to 120 matches the Rfam family "5.8S ribosomal RNA", at positions 35 to 154 of the family's 154-position model. The record is from RNAcentral.
GAUGAAGAACGUAGUGAAAUGCGAUAAGUAAUGUGAAUUGCAGAAUUCAGUGAAUCAUCGAAUCUUUGAACGCACAUUGCGCCCCCUGGUAUUCCGGGGGGCAUGCCUGUUCGAGCGUCAUUUCACCACUCAAGCCUCGCUUGGUAUUGGGCAACGCGGUCCGCCGCGUGCCUCAAAUCGACCGGCUGGGUCUUCUGUCCCCUAAGCGUUGUGGAAACUAUUCGCUAAAGGGUGUUCGGGAGGCUACGCCGUAAAACAACCCCAUUUCUAAGGUUGACCUCGGAUCAGGUAGGGAUACCCGCUGAACUUAAGCAUAUAAUAAGCGGAGGA